GGUCCCGUAGUGUAGUGGUUAUCACGGUGGAUUUUGAUUCCACUGACCCCGGUUCGAAUCCGGGCGGGACCU
This 72-nucleotide transfer RNA is filed under the name Histoplasma capsulatum G186AR. RNAcentral's name for it is "tRNA-Gln (TTG) (tRNA-Gln-TTG-1-1)". It matches the Rfam family "tRNA". Rfam says of the family: Transfer RNA (tRNA) molecules are approximately 80 nucleotides in length. Lineage: Eukaryota; Fungi; Ascomycota; Eurotiomycetes; Onygenales; Ajellomycetaceae. The record is from RNAcentral. RNAcentral also lists the same sequence under 8 other names.